CCUACGGGGGGCUGCAGUGAGGAAUCUUGGUCAAUGGGCGAGAGCCUGAACCAGCCAAGUCGCGUGAGGGAGUACUGCCCUAUGGGUUGUAAACCUCUUUUGUCGGGGAGCAAAAGCCGGACGUGUCCGGCUGUGAGAGUACCCGAAGAAAAAGCAUCGGCUAACUCCGUGCCAGCAGCCGCGGUAAUACGGAGCAUGCGAGCGUUAUCCGGAUUUAUUGGGUUUAAGGGGUGCGCAGGCGGAUUUUUAAGUCAGCGGUAAAAUCGUGGGGCUCAACCCCAUCCAGCCGUUGAAACUGGGGAUCUAGAGUGUGCGAGAGGUAUGCGGAAUGCGUGGUGUAGCGGUGAAAUGCAUAGAUAUCACGCAGAACACCGAUUGCGAAGGCAGCAUACCGGUGCACAACUGACGCUCAGGCACGAAAGCGUGGGUAUCGAACAGGAUUAGAUACCCUUGUAGUC
This 458-nucleotide ribosomal RNA is filed under the name uncultured bacterium. Its description in RNAcentral is "partial 16S ribosomal RNA". It matches the Rfam family "Bacterial small subunit ribosomal RNA", at positions 338 to 795 of the family's 1533-position model. The record is from RNAcentral.